UACAGAGGGCUCAAGCGUUGUUCGGAUUCACUGGGCGUAAAGGGUGCGUAGGCGGCGAGGUAAGUCGGAUGUGAAAUCCCGGGGCUCAACCCCGGAACUGCAUUCGAUACUGCUUUGCUAGAGUACUGGAGAGGAGACUGGAAUUUACGGUGUAGCAGUGAAAUGCGUAGAUAUCGUAAGGAAGACCAGUGGCGAAGGCGAGUCUCUGGACAGUUACUGACGCUGAGGCACGAAGGCCAGGGGAGCAAACGGG
Molecule: ribosomal RNA, 253 nt
Filed under: uncultured bacterium
Lineage: Bacteria
Description: partial 16S ribosomal RNA
Rfam family: Bacterial small subunit ribosomal RNA
Source: RNAcentral